RNAcentral lists this ribosomal RNA (694 nucleotides) under uncultured bacterium. Its description in RNAcentral is "bacterial SSU rRNA". It matches the Rfam family "Bacterial small subunit ribosomal RNA", at positions 54 to 745 of the family's 1533-position model. The record is from RNAcentral.
CAUGCAAGUCGAGCGGUAACAUUUCUAGCUUGCUAGAAGAUGACGAGCGGCGGACGGGUGAGUAAUGCUUGGGAACAUGCCUUGAGGUGGGGGACAACAGUUGGAAACGACUGCUAAUACCGCAUAAUGUCUACGGACCAAAGGGGGCUUCGGCUCUCGCCUUUAGAUUGGCCCAAGUGGGAUUAGCUAGUUGGUGAGGUAAUGGCUCACCAAGGCGACGAUCCCUAGCUGGUUUGAGAGGAUGAUCAGCCACACUGGGACUGAGACACGGCCCAGACUCCUACGGGAGGCAGCAGUGGGGAAUAUUGCACAAUGGGCGCAAGCCUGAUGCAGCCAUGCCGCGUGUGUGAAGAAGGCCUUCGGGUUGUAAAGCACUUUCAGUCAGGAGGAAAGGUUAGUAGUUAAUACCUGCUAGCUGUGACGUUACUGACAGAAGAAGCACCGGCUAACUCCGUGCCAGCAGCCGCGGUAAUACGGAGGGUGCGAGCGUUAAUCGGAAUUACUGGGCGUAAAGCGUACGCAGGCGGUUUGUUAAGCGAGAUGUGAAAGCCCCGGGCUCAACCUGGGAACUGCAUUUCGAACUGGCAAACUAGAGUGUGAUAGAGGGUGGUAGAAUUUCAGGUGUAGCGGUGAAAUGCGUAGAGAUCUGAAGGAAUACCGAUGGCGAAGGCAGCCACCUGGGUCAACACUGACG